This is a long non-coding RNA of Capsicum annuum, 778 nucleotides long. RefSeq lists it as uncharacterized. Lineage: Eukaryota; Viridiplantae; Streptophyta; Magnoliopsida; Solanales; Solanaceae. The record is from RefSeq and is a predicted model, not a curated record. The transcript is spliced from 2 exons.
CACCUUCAGCAAACAUCUCGACAACUCCAUCAACUUCGCGACCCGACCCGACCCGUCUCCAACAACCCGAUCCAGCGAAACCAACCCAUUCUCAACCCAAAAUUUGGCGAAAACCAGGUUCCCAACGUCGACCUGACUUCGACCCGCCUAGAUGGCGUGUGUUUGCUACGAAAAUUCGAGAAAGCUUCUAGAAAUGGGUGAUUUGGCUCACCCCAACAUUCAAAUCUCGGGUUCUAUGGUAUGAAUUCGUACAUAGAUGGGGAAUUUUCAUUGGCUUUGGAAGAUUAUUCUCCUUCCUCCAUUUUCUAUUGGUUAGCUUUUGAAAUUAGCAACGGAUUUGGUAGGUUUUGGGGAGGGAAUUCCUUGUCUUGAGGGGAUUCCAUUGUUUGUUGAGCUUCCCAAAAUACCCCUAAUUCGGCUUUCUAUAUAAGAAACCAUUGGUUCUCUGUAAGGAGGGGAUUGAGAAAAAUUAGACUGGAAAACUUUUUUUUUCACAAGGAGAAACAAAACUAUAGAAACAGUAUCAAGCAGGGGAGGGAAAAAACAAAUCCGAGAGGUUUGAAAAACUUUCGAAAAAAGAAAAAAUAGCUUUUGUAGUAUAAAUUCUGUCGUUUAAGAAGAGAGUUUUAGAAGUCACGGAAAAUUCCUCCGGUGGUAAUUAAGAUUCCAUCAAAGUUCGAGUCCCUUUUUGCUGCUCCCUAACAGGUUAUUUUAAUAGUCAUUUCAUGAUUCGGAUAAUUUUUCAAUCAACACUCCAGCAGUAAAUUUUUCUGGUAAA